UUUGUAAAUAAAGUAGUGGUAGGAACUGUUACACACCAGAUGGCCGUAGACAAACGAGGCACGAAGAAGUCAACUGAUCGGUUUGUGGCCUGUAUUUUCGGACGCUUCUUUUUAUCGCUAACUUUCUUUAUUUCAACAAUCACCAUCUACAUGUUACAACCGGUCAGCUUAAAAUGAAGACUGAGUUCAAUUUCUCGUCAAAGGGUUACAAUAAACCCACUCAUUUACACAUCGCAUUGUUUCCUGUUAUAUCUCGUUCAGUUCGUCACAUGUAGACGAUUGAGAUGUGACGUUGUUGAUCAUGUAAAUAUUUUGCUUGCUGAAAGUGCAUUUUACAGAUGAAUGUGGGAGCUGGGCUUCCACUUUACAAUGGCUGCCAUCAAACUUUUAUUCAGGUAUCUGCAUUUCUGGUUCAACAUAAGUUCAAGGAGAGCUUUAUAGUAGGAAAGUGAAACCGUAAGUCAAACAAAGCCAGUGGUAAAUCCAACGAUGACCUUUUCUGAUUUUGUGUGAUAAUAACAAAAAUGCUGUGUUAAAGUAUGUUCUAUUUACGUAGUCGUAACGAAUCGCCGAAUCGGUAAAGCCAAAAAUGUUAGUUGCCGAUCAUUAAUGUAGAGGCAACUGCAUGUAAGUAGUUGAAUCACUUUUGUCCCUACUGCUUGAAGAUCCAUUCGAGCUCAGAAACUUCUAGAUAAAACCUAAUAGCUGAAGGUUGAAGUUUCUACUUUAACAGGUUGUGAAGGUUAAACAGGCUGUGUUUGAUGGAAUUGUUAAAAAUGAACUGAUCAGACAACCUUGGGAGAGAGGUAACCAAAAUGGUUAUUGCUGCCUUGGGAUUAGAAAACAAUUCAUCUGCUGUGAUACUUUUGAAAAUUAAGUACCUUUUAUUUGUUUAUUGCAUUAGAGUUUACUUGUUGUGCUAACUGGAAACCUUUAUAUUUUAUUAUUGCCUUUCUUUUAGAUAUUAUGGAAGGCUUAAUGAUCUUAGCGAUUUUCACCAGGCUUUAUGGAAUCAAAGGGAGAUCUCACGGCAUGAAUUACCCUAAUCGUCGAACUGGAAAAAUUUAAUGCGAUUAACAGCUUCAGACCAUUAACAACCUGUAACUAUUUAGCAACGACGCAUGGCAUUUGUCACUAGGAUAGGCAUUGAAUUCAGUUGCACAUAAGGUAGGUUUGGAAACUAGCAGACCAGGUGGCGAUGAAGCUGAGGUACACUAGGGAGGCUGCACAAAAGAUGGCGUUGGUGUAGCUUUUUUUUACUUUAUUUGAGCGAAAGCUCAAACUCCAAAUAUGAAGUAUAAAGUUCUAACCAAAAAUUUGUCGAAAAUAAGGAUUGUUGAAGAACACGCUCAAGAGAUGGCGUUGAUUGUUGAAGAACAAGCUCAAGAGAUGGCGUUGACCGUUGAAGAACACGCUCAAAAGAUGGCGUGGACUAUGCGGAAAUCGGUCAAGAGAUGGCGUGGAGUAUGCAGAAACCACUCGACAGAUGGCGUUGGUUAUUGCAGAAACCGCUCAACAGAUGGCGUUGGUUGUUGCAAAAACCGCUCAACAGAUGGCGUGGAUUACUGCGAAAACCGCUCGGCAGAUGGCGUGGAUUACUGCGAAAACCGCUCGGCAGAUGGCGUGGGUUGUUGCUGAAACCGCUCGUCAGAUGGGAUGGAAGAUUGCUUAGA
Molecule: long non-coding RNA, 1673 nt
Organism: Daphnia carinata
Lineage: Eukaryota; Metazoa; Arthropoda; Branchiopoda; Diplostraca; Daphniidae
Exons: 3
Source: RefSeq, a predicted model, not a curated record